Bombus impatiens (common eastern bumble bee) is the source of this 1324-nucleotide long non-coding RNA. RefSeq lists it as uncharacterized. The record is from RefSeq and is a predicted model, not a curated record. NCBI's taxonomy places the organism in Eukaryota, Metazoa, Arthropoda, Insecta, Hymenoptera, Apidae. The transcript has 5 exons.
UACAGUUGAUUGUUACAAAGUAUAGUUCUAAUGUAAUUUUGCCUGUGUCAUGAUUUGUCGACAAAUGAUGGUAUAUUAUGAUGGACGAGUGGAAAUUUUGUUAAAUGGAAGCUUGAUGGACACCUGUUAAUGAGGAUAUACGUUCGGAAAUGAGUGUUCGCGGUAGGAAAUGAGGCUGAAAGCAUAUUUUGGAAUUAAAGGCGUCCACGCCCUGAUACAGCGGCGUGCCGAAUGAAAAAAGAAGUAACAUCGUAUAGGGCCAAUUAUCCUUGUUGACUAAAUGAGGUCAAUAUUCAAGUGAGACAGAGAGGCAAUGAAAAAAACCUUAACGAGGCUAAUAGUGUAAUAAACCGACUUAUGAAUUCGAGACACGCACGCUGCUGCCGGCAGAAUGCCAGAGAUUCGAUGACCUUGCAAUCGUUUGCUAUACUUGAGAUCUUUCCAAAUUUAUCAGUGGCAAAUAACAAAAUUUCAUAAAAUCGUGCAAUUCAAUCAUUUCACUGAUAGUUCUUAUUUUUCUUUGUAUUAAACCUUGUAUUAAUUUAACCUUUGUAUUAAGCGACCCAAACAAUGAUACAAACAAGUUUCAGAGAAAUUCAUCAUUAAAAGAUAACUCAAUCGACCGAUAGAUGUGUACGCGUUCAUCCUCGUGCAGUUGCAAUGCAAUGCCAGCUUUGAUGGGAUUGGCGAGCAACCCUACCGGUAAUGCACCCUCCGUGACGUAAGCUUAACCCAUAGAUGUUCGAAGACGUCAUAACAAAGAUUGAAGACAGUUCAAGUUCAAAUUGUUCUUAUAAUAUACAAUAAAUACUCAUGACAACGUGACUAAGACGCUUAAUGGACUCGAGGCACGAGCUUUAAAAGGAGAACAUUUGGACAGUGAAAAGAUAUAUAAUUUUUUGUGGUAUGAAUCAGCAGCAAUAAUUUGGGAAGGAUCGAUCGGAAAUCCGUAGAUUUCACGAAUUAUCUGGUGAACAGUUUGCACGACGUUGUAACAUGAAAUAGCCAUUUCGAUCGUGUGGCUGGAAAAAAAACAAGGCAACUAGGAGUAGAAAAAAGAAAGAAGAAACGAGAGUCCAUUCACGAGGAGUUUAGCUGGCCAAGGUCACGGUGCAACAAUCUUCCGGCUGUUGGUAUGCGAUCGGAUGGAAGGCGCAACGAAAGUAUGCGUGGGUGCACACUCUGGGUUCACCAUGGGUGCUACAACCCUUAACCUUUUCACGCAUUUACGCGGUCAUGUACCCCGUUGAUUCAUCUUUCUGAUACAACAAUUCAUGCUGCACAAUAUUUACGCAAUCAAAUUGAUAAAUAGUAGAAUUUUUGU